CCCAAAGCCUCUUGGGGCUCAGGUGGUCCCCAAGAAAGUGUAAGGAGGUCUACUGGCCUCUUCAGUUCCACAAACAACUGAGAUGGGAAGCAGAUAUAUGUGUUAGACGGGAUGACAGAGAACCACCACUCCACAUCUUCGCCAGCACAGCCUGAGCCUAAAUCCCCAGUUCAGGACCCCAGGAAGAAUACUGAACUGAUAGGAAAUCUUUUUAAAUAUAUAUAUAUAAUUGAUUUUUUACAGAGAGGAAGGGAGAGGGAUAAAGAGCUAGAAACAUCGAUGAGAGAGAAGCAUCGACCAGCUGCCUCCUGCACACCCCCCACUGGGGAUGUGCCUGCAACCAAGGUACAUGCCCUUGACUGGAAUCGAACCCGGGACCCUUCAGUCCCCAGGCUGAUGCUCUAUCCAGUGAGCCAAACCGGCUAGGGCCUGAUAGGAAAUUUUUAUUUUAUUUCUUAGAAGCCAAAAAACCUGAAACACCAUAUAUUACAUACAAGUGCAAGUCACAAAGUAGGCACUCAAACGCACAUUUGUGGUUAUAUUAGGGACAAAAGUCACCCACCCACCUCAUGUACCCCAUUGAUCCCUAACAAGAUACAGAGGUUCUGAGCUCUAGAAUCCUAUCUGCCCCAUCCCCUCCUCCACUCACAAGAAUCCUUAGCACCCCUCCCCAUCACCCUCUGGUCCCCAGUCCCUGACCCCAAAGUCCUAGGGGUGGGGAACAGUGAGGGUGGGUCUCCCUUCUUCAAUUCCUUCUAUUGUUCCCCUGAAGUCUUAUCUGGGCUGUACGUCCUGUCUCCCCCUUGAGGCCCCUCCCCCCAUUGUCAGCCAGAGGGACCUCGGCCCCACUGGGAGGCUCCAGCUCCUCCUCACCACCCCCACCUUAGCAGUCCAUUGUCUGCUGAGGAAGCCCAAGUACACGUGACCAGGCCCAGGGGACAAAGGGACAGUGGCACACCAAUGACCAAGGACCCAGGACAGGGAAUCUGGACAUGGGUCUCUGCACGUUUAGCUUUCUCUGUCCCCGGAGCUGUUCCAGAAGUUGGGAGGGGUGAAGACCCCUUUGGCCUCUACAAUCUUGGAUCUAUGGCUUGAAGAGAAAUCCAUUCCUGUUCAGUGUGGAUAUGCCUUAUGACUUCCCAGACAGCAAAAAUAAGAAGACCCAGAGACUGAAGGGGCCGUGGUCUCCAGCAUCCUCUCCACCUUCCCAUUCUACCCCAGCUGAACAUGGAGGUCUCAGAAGGAAAGAGCUUCCUCAUCCCUCUGCAAAGCAGAACUGGAAAUUACUCUUUGUCAAGCAGGAAGUCACCUGUAGGCUCUUGACCACUCCUAUUUUAACCUACGGUCAUCAAGGUUUUCCUCUCCCAUAAGUCUGGAAUGGAGUAACACUCCCAGCUCCGGGAAGAAGCUCUGAGGCUCUCAAGAAAGCCCAGGGAACAGAAAAGAGAAGUCAGGAGGGGAAAGCCCACACAGAUGGAGGUUUUCCUUGCCACCUCCCUCAGAUCACAUGGAUGAGAGUAUUCCCUAUGUUCCCCAUCUCCCCGCUGGCUCCACAUUUCCAAGCAAUCCAGCCCCCCUUGCUGGGGAGCCUUCCUUGAGAGCCACCCCAGUGUCUUCUACAGGAAUCUGUCGGGAAUGCAACUAAGUGGCAGCAGCCCCUGCAAUCAAGUUCCCACUAUCGCCUUUUAAACCAGCACGCCAAGUGCAAGUCUGCCAGCCACUGGUCUGUAUGGGGGGGGGGGGGGGCACGCAGGGGCUCCACUGGAGGAGUGUGAUGUGCCCCCCAGUCUUGCCAUGCUCAGCUUCAGAGCUGUCCCUACACCACCUCCCAAUGCAGCUCAAACAGAAAGAGGGGCCACUGGUGUGACCUCAAUUCCUUGACUGGUCCCAAGGGGAGCAGCUCUCCAUCUGUGCCACCAUCCUAGUUCCUCCAAGGCCAGAAGGGAACAGCUCCCUCAGUUCACGCUGUCUACCCAGGCGCGCGCCCCCCCCCUCCCCCCAAUCGGAGGGAACCCAGGACCUAGGCGAUCUGGCUCCAAGUCCUGCUGGCACAGGACAGGGAGGCGGGGCCGCCGGCAGCGCGGGUCCCGGUGCCUCCGGGGCAGCCCGGGCCGGGCGGCCGGUCCCUCCCUGCGGCCCGCACUGGGGGCGGGGCGCCGCGAAGGACAGGUCCCCGGGGGCGCCCCGGAGGCUGCGCCCCCUCCCCCGCGACCUCCCGCCAGACGCGACCCGGAACCAGCUCCCCGCGUCCCCGCUCGCGGAGCCCCUCCAGUGGGUGUGGGUGCUCGUCUGCCCGACCGCGGCCCCCAGAACCCCCAAAUGGAGGCCAAGGCUGGAGGAUGACAGAAGGAGGAACUCCGGGCGUGAGGGGGUCCCCGGCGCCGCGCGCGGGGCAGGAGGCGGAGGAGGGGGCGCAGGGGCCGCGGGAGAGCGCGCGGGGGGCGAGCGGGGCCCGGGGGGCGCGCGGUGGGUGUGGGGGCGCCGGG
Myotis daubentonii (Daubenton's bat) is the source of this 2486-nucleotide long non-coding RNA. RefSeq lists it as uncharacterized. The record is from RefSeq and is a predicted model, not a curated record. NCBI's taxonomy places the organism in Eukaryota, Metazoa, Chordata, Mammalia, Chiroptera, Vespertilionidae. The transcript is spliced from 3 exons.